Molecule: ribosomal RNA, 441 nt
Filed under: uncultured bacterium
Lineage: Bacteria
Description: partial 16S ribosomal RNA
Rfam family: Bacterial small subunit ribosomal RNA
Source: RNAcentral
CCUACGGGUGGCAGCAGUAGGGAAUUUUGCGCAAUGGGCGAAACCCUGACGCAGCGACGCCGCGUGAUUGAUUAAGUCCUUCGUGGUGUAAAGCUCUAUCAGUAGGGACGAAACUUACGGUUCCCCACAAAGGAACCACCGGCUAACUCCGUGCCAGCAGCCGCGGUAAUACGGAGGGGGCAACCGUUUUCCGGAUUCAUUGGGGGUAAGGAGUUCGUAGGUGGCAUAGUAAGUCUGGAGUUAAAUGCAGAAGCUAAACUUCCGUUCUGCAUUGGAAACUGGUCAGCUUGAGUGCGGGAGAGGUAAGGGGAAGUCCUGGUGUAGCGGUGAAAUGCGUAGAUAUUAGGAGGAACACCAGUGGCGAAAGCGGCUUACUGGACUGUAACUGACGUUGAGGAUCGAAAGCGUGGGGAGCAAACGGGAUUAGAUACCCCGGUAGUC